RNAcentral lists this ribosomal RNA (263 nucleotides) under uncultured archaeon. RNAcentral's name for it is "partial 16S ribosomal RNA". It matches the Rfam family "Archaeal small subunit ribosomal RNA", at positions 714 to 982 of the family's 1478-position model. The record is from RNAcentral.
AGACGUCUACAUUAGAUACCCCUGUAGUCCCAGCCGUAAACUAUGCGCGUUAGGUGUAUCGGUGACCACGAGUUACCGAGGUGCCGAAGGGAAACCGUGAAACGUGCCGCCUGGGAGUACGUCCGCAAGGAUGAAACUUAAAGGAAUUGGCGGGGGAGCACCGCAACGGGAGGAGCGUGCGGUUUAAUUGGAUUCAACACCGUAAACUCACCAGGGAAGACUGUUACAUGAAAGCCGAGAUGAAGACUCUGCUAGAUUUUCAG